UACGGAAGGCAGCAGUGGGGAAUAUUGCACAAUGGGCGAAAGCCUGAUGCAGCUAUGCCGCGUGUAUGAAGAAGGCCUUAGGGUUGUAAAGUACUUUCAUCGGGGAGGAAAAACAAAACUAAUAAUUUUAUUUCUUGACGUUACCCGAAAAAGAAGCACCGGCUAACUCCGUGCCAGCAGCCGCGGUAAUACGGAGGGUGCUAGCGUUAAUCAGAAUUACUGGGCGUAAAGAGCACGUAGGUGGUUUUUUUAAAGUCAGAUGUGAAAUCCCUGGGCUUAACCUAGGAACUGCAUUUUGAAACUGAAAUACUAGAGUAUCGUAGAGGGAGGUAGAAUUCUAGGUGUAGCGGUGAAAUGCGUAGAUAUCUGGAGGAUACCUGUGGCGAAAGCGGCCUCCUAAACGAAUACUGACACUGAGGUGCGAAAGCGUGGGGAGCGAAACAGGGAUUAGAUACC
RNAcentral lists this ribosomal RNA (456 nucleotides) under uncultured bacterium. Its description in RNAcentral is "bacterial SSU rRNA". It matches the Rfam family "Bacterial small subunit ribosomal RNA", at positions 340 to 786 of the family's 1533-position model. The record is from RNAcentral.